AAGCCAUUCAUGAGGCCAAUUCUACCCUUGCUAGGGAUUGUUGGAUUUGUUAUUCGUCCCAGCCUCCUCUUUAUGAAGGAAUAGCCCUUUUUGGAGAGGUGAUUGCCACCAAUGAAACUUCCUUUCUGAGAUGACAUCUGGAGUCUAUAGAAGGGCUGACUCUUUGCCAAAUAUCUGGUAUUGGUCUCUGUCUUUUGGGACCCCAGAUGCUUCCUCCCCCCACCCCUGUUUGAAGUGUGUAAUCAAACCCUGGCUCUCAACCUUGCUUCCUAGCCUUUUGGGACCCUUCUUGGGCACUCUGUUGCUUUUGUCAUUUGCCCUUGGGCUUUUAAUAGAUUAACCAGUUUUAAGUUACAGAUUGAUUCUGCCUUAAACAAAACAGUUGCCGUCCACUACCAUUGACUAGACAUCUGAGACUCAGCUGAAGACCUCUUAUCCGACGAUGCAGAGAGGGCAACCACUGGCCUUCAGUUUCCCACCCUUGCUGCAGAGACAGAGACUUCUUGGUUCCAAAAGCUGUGGAAACGACAAUGAUGGAUAGGGUGACGUCCGGAUCUUAUAGUGGCUGAGGGCCAUAAGCUGUGGAGUUAACCAAUGACGGGAUCUUGUGGUGCUACGAGCCAGAUGCACACCGCCUAUUGGCUGCAAGGUUACCCAAUGAUGGGAUUAUUGUGGGUCCACUGCCUGGUGCCCAUCAUGACUACCAGUGGCCUGAUCAAGUCAUUGGCAUAAGACAUGGUGCUGGGAGUGGGGGCAACUCACAUAGCCUAAGACAGGGGCCUUGCCCACCUACGACCUGAAAAGGCCUAGCUAUUGUGAUAUUGGACGUGGACGUUUGCCACGGAAAAGGCCUAACACAGGUGCUUCACCGACCCUCUUUUCGUGGCCAACCCUGAACUUUAAUAAAAAAAGGGGGAGAUGUGAGAGACCAAACUGUGGGAAAUUAAGUCCCACAGUUACUCUCACCCUAAAGAUCCGGCUGACCCUUUGAAGGGAAUUAUGUCACCCCCUCCUUCAUUGCCUCCACCUGGUGCCUGAGACUGCCAGCUUCACUCCCUCCUUCAUGUCUCCAUUUGGUGCCUAGAACUGCUUAGAUUAAGGCAGCUUCACCUCCUCCUCCAUGUCUCUGUUUGGUGCCUGGGACUGUUUAGUCAGGACAGGCACUCCAAGAUAAACUGCAGAAUGUUUGAAGGCUGCCUGGGACCGUUUUAGGGCCGGCAUUCCAAGAUAAGCUGCAAGAAGCCUGUAAUCAGCAUCUGCCCCAGAUGUCCAUGCCUUUCUCUGUAUUUUAUGUCCCCUCGGCCCCUCCCUAUUUUCUCUCACUGUGUGCUUAUAACCUGGCUCUUAGCCUUCAUUAAACAGACCUUGACAACUC
RNAcentral lists this long non-coding RNA (1375 nucleotides) under Mus musculus (house mouse). Its description in RNAcentral is "predicted gene 10683 (Gm10683)". The record is from RNAcentral. Lineage: Eukaryota; Metazoa; Chordata; Mammalia; Rodentia; Muridae.